CGACCCCUCAAGCCCGCGCGCGCUUGGUGCUGGGGACCCUACGUGCGCCGUAGGCCCCGAAUUACAGUGGCGGGCCCGCCGCGGUCCCGAGCGUAGUAGUGCUACACCGCUCAGGGUACCCCGCGGCGGGCGCCUGCCGUGAAAGGAAAAGAAGGAUGGAGAGAGAAG
Molecule: unclassified non-coding RNA, 168 nt
Filed under: uncultured Sordariomycetes
Lineage: Eukaryota; Fungi; Ascomycota; Sordariomycetes
Description: sequence contains ITS2
Source: RNAcentral